Myodes glareolus (Bank vole) is the source of this 1590-nucleotide non-coding RNA. The record is from RefSeq and is a predicted model, not a curated record. NCBI's taxonomy places the organism in Eukaryota, Metazoa, Chordata, Mammalia, Rodentia, Cricetidae.
GCCACAUUAUCUGAAGCUCCUCCCUGUGCCCCACCCCAGGUCAUAGCCUCAUACACCCUCAAUCUAUAUCACCAGACAUCUGUGUCAACUGCUGUCUACACUCUGCUGGCGUGGACAUCGGCUUCUACAGAGAACUGAUGCCAUGAUUGGAAGGAGGGUGGGCGCCUUGAUCCUGGUGCCAGCCUGCAGCCGGUGGUGUCCGUGUCCAGGAGAAAGCACAGCUUCAUCUAUGGCUGCCCCAAUCCACUUUUGGGUUCCAUGCAGAAAGCAGAGCUGGGUGUAUUGCUCCUUCCAGGCUGGUCCUGCUCUGUGCUGCUGAUGCUUGGAGGAGCCCUGUGCUUGUGGAAGACCCCAAAUGAGAAAGAAUUGCUCAGUCCUAGCAAGUGUCCUACCUUCCUCCACCCAGGAGGAGAGCAGAAGGUCCCUGGAUUGUUGCUGAGGACAUGCCUGCUGGUGGUGUGUCUGACGUCAUAGCGACUCUCAUUUCCGUUGCUGGUUCUCAGGACAGCUCACUAUGGACACUUUGAAAAUUCAUCCUCAGUCAUUUGAAUUCUGCAUCUGACAGCCAGAUCCCCUGUCUCUUUUGUGUCCCGUGUCCGGCAGACAAUAAGCCAUGGCUCGCCGGCAACUGGAAGUAGUCAGCAUAUCUCUGGUCAGGCUGAGCUGGCUGGUCACCAUUAUCUGCUGUGCCCUACCCUUCUGGCGUGGUACAAAAGUCUCCGAAGAGAUCAUAAUCUGGGAAGGGCUGUGGGACGUGUGUGAGGCUCAAGGGCUUGAGAUCCUACAGUGUGUGAAAUACUCACACACUACACUACCACGGGACAUACAGGUGUCUCGAGUUCUGGUGGUCACCUGCAUCAUCAUCACCUGGAUGGGUUUGCUGCUGGACAGGUACCGGGGAGACAGGACAUAUGUGCCGAAUCCGAGCACUCAAGAAAAGAUGACGGUGGCCACAAGUGUGUUGUUCCUGGGGCUGGGUGUGCUGCUGCUGGUGUCUGUGUACUGGGUAACACACAAUGUUAUCCACGGCAACUCUCUCUCUCUGUCACUCAUGGAAACCAGGAUGGGAGUCUCACUCUACCUGGGUUGGCUCAGCUCCCUGCUGCUUCUGCUGGGAGGGGCCCACCUGUGGUACAAGGCCCCAGCUAACAAUGUCUAGUCCAGUCCUCCAGAGGGCUCCACCAAUGACUUGCCCAGUUCUUCCCUGGGCUCCAGGGAUGGGCCCUCCUCAGAGAACAAUGCCUAAGGUGGGCCACUCUCUGCGUUUUGGAUUCAUCUGUAGUCCCCUCAGACCCAUCACCUGUGACUUAUUCUCAAGUUGUUUCUCUUUGACUGAAACGUCUUUGGCCCGAGGGAAAGAGAAACAGGAAGCUACAGGACUUGGGUGCCCUCCUCAGCCUCAGUGAAUUACUGCUGGGGACACACGGGGAGAGAAAACCCCUCCACGGACCUGGCUGCAAACAGGCUUUGCUGGAGACCUCCUGGGUGAGGUCCUCAUGACUCAGCACAAUGCUGUGGUGCACUUCCUGUGGAUGCAGCCACCUGAGUCACCCAUGAACCCGGGGCCCCAAUAAAGUCACUGGUCCCCUU